Molecule: ribosomal RNA, 1021 nt
Filed under: Pristimantis marmoratus (marbled robber frog)
Lineage: Eukaryota; Metazoa; Chordata; Amphibia; Anura; Strabomantidae
Description: partial 16S ribosomal RNA
Rfam family: Bacterial large subunit ribosomal RNA
Source: RNAcentral
UCUCAAGAAAAGAAUUUUAGUUCAGCCUAAAGUAAAUUAAGUAACCCCCAUAGUACCACCUUUAGAGUUAUUCAAAUGAGGUACAGCCCAUUUGACACAGGAUACAACCUUCACUAACGGGUAAUAUUUUAACUACACCCUGAAGUAGGCCUAAGAGCAGCCAUCUUUCAAAAAGCGUCAAAGCUUAACCUUGUUCUUAAAGAUCUCGCAACCCCUAUCGACCCCUUUAAUCAUAUUGAGAACUUCUAUAACAAUAUAGAACCUUUUAUGCUAAAACUAGUAACAAGAAGAAACCCCUCUCCCUAAUGCAAACUAAAGCCAGCAGAACCCCUCACUGGCAAUUAACACACACAAGUAGCAACUCCCCUAGAAAACCCUGCUCCUCCUAUUGUUAACCUUACACCAGAGCAUUUCAAGAAAGAUUAAAAGAAAAAGAAGGAACUCAGCAAACUCUAAAGUCCCGCCUGUUUACCAAAAACAUCGCCUCUUGUAAUCAUAAGAGGUCCAGCCUGCCCAGUGAUUUUUAUUCAACGGCCGCGGUAUUCUAACCGUGCAAAGGUAGCGUAAUCACUUGUUUUUUAAAUAAAGACCAGUAUGAAAGGCACCACGAGGACUUAACUGUCUCCUUUCUCCAAUCAGUGAACCUAAUCCCCCCGUGAAAAAGCGGGGAUCCCCCUAUAAGACGAGAAGACCCUGUGGAGCUUAAGAUACCAUAACAAUUGCCACACCACCAGCCACCCCGAUGUCUCCCCCAACAGCACCCUGUUUAUGUAUCUUUGGUUGGGGUGACCGCGGAGAAAAACCCAUCCUCCGCAAUGAAAAGGACUUCCCACCUUAAACAACAAGUUACUACUUUACGUAUCAAAAUUGACAUUCAUUGACCCAAUAAUUGAUUAACGAACCAAGUUACCCCAGGGAUAACAGCACAAUCCACUUUGAGAGCCCCUAUCGACAAGUGGGCUUAUGACCUCGAUGUUGGAUCAGGAUAUCCUAGUGGUGCAACCACUACUAAAGGUUCGUU